This 433-nucleotide ribosomal RNA is filed under the name uncultured bacterium. RNAcentral's name for it is "partial 16S ribosomal RNA". It matches the Rfam family "Bacterial small subunit ribosomal RNA", at positions 29 to 507 of the family's 1533-position model. The record is from RNAcentral.
AACGAACGCUGGCGGCAUGCCUAACACAUGCAAGUCGAACGAUGCCUUCGGGCAUAGUGGCGCACGGGUGAGUCACGCGUGGGAAUCUGCCUUUCGGUUCGGAAUUACUCAGGGAAACUUGAGCUCAUAUCGGCUAACGUCGCAAGACCAAAGCUUUAUCACCGAAAGAUGAGCCCGCGUAGGAUUAGCUAGUUGGUGAGGUAAAGGCUCACCAAGGCGACGAUCCUUAGCUGGUCUGAGAGGAUGAUCAGCCACACUGGGACUGAGACACGGCACAGACUCCGGCGGGAAGCAGCAGUGGGGAAUAUUGGACAAUGGGCGAGAGCCUGAUCCAGCGAUGCCGCGUAAGGGAUGAAGGCCUUAGGGUUGUAAAGCUCUUUUACCCGGGAAGAUAAUGACGGUACCGGGAGAAUAGGCCCCGGCUAACUCCGUG